CCUACGGGCGGCAGCAGUGGGGGAUAUUGCACAAUGGGGGGAACCCUGAUGCAGCGACGCCGCGUGGGUGAAGAAGCGCCUCGGCGCGUAAAGCCCUGUCAGCCGGGAAGAAAAUGACGGUACCUGAAGAAGAAGCCCCGGCUAACUACGUGCCAGCAGCCGCGGUAACACGUAAGGGGCAAGCGUUAUCCGGAUUUACUGGGUGUAAAGGGGGCGCAGACGGCGAUGCAAGCCAGGAGGGAAAGCACGGGGCCCAACCCCGGGACUGCUGUUGGAACUGCGUGGCUGGAGUGCAGGAGGGGCAGGCGGAAUUCCUGGUGUAGCGGUGAAAUGCGUAGAUAUCAGGAGGAACACCGGUGGCGAAGGCAGCCUGCUGGACUGCAACUGACGUUGAGGCCCGAAAGCGUGGGGAGCAAACAGGAUUAGAUACCCGGGUAGUC
RNAcentral lists this ribosomal RNA (440 nucleotides) under uncultured bacterium. RNAcentral describes it as "partial 16S ribosomal RNA". It matches the Rfam family "Bacterial small subunit ribosomal RNA", at positions 338 to 795 of the family's 1533-position model. The record is from RNAcentral.